Colobus angolensis palliatus is the source of this 107-nucleotide small nuclear RNA. The record is from Ensembl. Lineage: Eukaryota; Metazoa; Chordata; Mammalia; Primates; Cercopithecidae.
AUGCUUGCUUCAGCAGCACACAUACUAAAAUUGGAACAAUACAGAGGAGAUUAGCAUGGCCCCUGCGCAAGGAUGACACGCAAAUUCGUGAAGGAUUCCAUAUUUUC